UCUUUAAAUAAAAAAAAACUACAAUGUCGUCAUCCAAAAUUGUCAUAUUUUGUGUCAUCCUCGUCUUACUUGCUAAUCUCCAUGAAUGUAGUAUGUCAUUUGUAUAUAUUUUACAUAUUCACCAUCAUGAAUCAAUACUAGUUAGUAACCAAUUUAUAUAUAUUAUCCUCCCUAUUAUUAUUUGUAAUUGAUAUAUUUUUUAUGUUUUAUAUAUACAGGCUUAUUUAAAGCUGACAAGCUAUUGACAAAUCCUCACACAGGAAAGAAGUCUGGAAAACCACCAUGCAAACCAGAAAAAAAUUACUUUGUCUGCUCAUAUAACACCCACAUCCUCAAGCGUAAGAUGUAUAAUCCCCAAGAAUGUUGGACCUAUUGCCCUAACUAAUUAAUUAACCCACCACCUCCAUUUCAAAGAUUUUCUUAAAUUUUUGAAGAGCAUUUUAUAAACCAAUUUUUUUGUUUAAAAUAUAAAUACUAAAUAUUCAUGUGACUUCACUAAAGAAAAUUAUAUCUACCUUAAUAUUGUUUCCUAACAGUAAGUCUUUUCUUUAUUCUAUAUUAUGUUUGUAUUAUUUUAUGUUCACCUUAUUUAGCAUUUUGUAAAUUUUCAUAUAUUAUGAAUGAGAAAAUGGC
This 633-nucleotide long non-coding RNA is filed under the name Capsella grandiflora. RNAcentral's name for it is "long non-coding RNA (CGRA_LNC000032)". Lineage: Eukaryota; Viridiplantae; Streptophyta; Magnoliopsida; Brassicales; Brassicaceae. The record is from RNAcentral.